GGCUAACGCUGGCGGCGUGUCUUAGCCAUGCAAGUCGAGCGGACUUAUGGGGUAACUUAUAAGUCAGCGGCGGACGGCGGAGUAACACGUAGCUAACCUACCCUCUGGACGGGGAUAACCUACCGAAAGGUGGGCUAAUACCCGAUGUAGUCAUCCUGUAUAGGGGUGAUGAAAGGUGGGCUUCUGUUUACAAGCUCAUGCUGGAGGAGGGGGCUGCGGCCUAUCAGGUAGUUAGUAGGGUAAUAGCCUACCAAGCCGAUGACGGGUAGCCGGCCUGAGAGGGUGACCGGCCCGAGGGGCACUGAGAUACGGGUCCCACUCCUACGGGAGGCAGCAGGCUAGAAAUUUGGGCAAUGGGGGAAACCCUGACCCAGUGACGCCGCGUGCAGGAAGGAGCCCUUCGGGGUGUAAACUGCUGUCGUGUAGGGAGAAGGGUACUAAGGUGAACAAUCUUAGUACUUGACGGUACUACAGGAGGAAGCCCAGGCUAACCUCGUG
RNAcentral lists this ribosomal RNA (498 nucleotides) under uncultured bacterium. RNAcentral's name for it is "bacterial SSU rRNA". It matches the Rfam family "Bacterial small subunit ribosomal RNA", at positions 28 to 507 of the family's 1533-position model. The record is from RNAcentral.